RNAcentral lists this ribosomal RNA (270 nucleotides) under uncultured archaeon. RNAcentral describes it as "partial 16S ribosomal RNA". It matches the Rfam family "Archaeal small subunit ribosomal RNA", at positions 477 to 747 of the family's 1478-position model. The record is from RNAcentral.
CAGCACCUCAAGUGGUUAGGAUGAUUAUUGGGCCUAAAGCAUCCGUAGCCGGCUCUGUAAGUUUUCGGUUAAAUCUGUACGCUCAACGUACAGGCUGCCGGGAAUACUGCAGCGCUAGGGAGUGGGAGAGGUAGACGGUACUCGGUAGGAAGGGGUAAAAUCCUUUGAUCUAUUGAUGACCACCUGUGGCGAAGGCGGUCUACCAGAACACGUCCGACGGUGAGGGAUGAAAGCUGGGGGAGCAAACCGGAUUAGAUACCCGAGUAGUCC